Camelina sativa (false flax) is the source of this 1009-nucleotide long non-coding RNA. RefSeq lists it as uncharacterized. The record is from RefSeq and is a predicted model, not a curated record. Lineage: Eukaryota; Viridiplantae; Streptophyta; Magnoliopsida; Brassicales; Brassicaceae.
UGUUACAAGAUAUGAUUUCCUAAACUUCUACACUUAAUCGUUUAACCGAUGGGCAAUCUAACCAAAAGCCUCCUCGAGAUAUCAGCCCUAUACCAAAACCCAAAAUUUUUAAGAGUAGCCUACUGAAACAAGAAGAGGAUUAAUAAACCCUCUCAUUCUCAAAAACAUUGCUUAACCAAUAGGGAUGACCAGUCGCUACAUAGGAUUGCAGGCGACAGUCUUCAGUUACACUUUUGGCAAUGAGAGUGGCUCCUCUAUUCGCCGAGGCAUCUUCAAUUACAAGUCUCCAAAAUAUAAUUCUUCCCAGAACUCUCCAUAUCUCCGAUGCUUGGUAGCGGAAAGAAGGUCAGGCAUUUGGUCGUAGAACAACACCAACAAGCUGCACAUCCUCUAAGGCAAAAAUUACAUGAUUCAUUUUAUGGUUGUGCAUACAUUCUAUUGCCCAAACAGAAACACAUAAACUUGCCUCAUCUCUAGAGUUAACCUUGUUAAAAGCUCUCCUGCUAUUAAGUAACACAUUCCCUGUGUUAUCUCUUAAAACCCAAGAACCACCAACCAAUCUAUUUCUCUUUGACCAAGAAACACCAAUGUUGCAUUUUAACCAGCCUCUGACCGGAGGAUUCCAAGGAAACGAAGAAACCGACCUUAUAGAGAGAUCUGUCUGACAAGAGGAGAGAAGCUUUUACCUUCAAAAAACAAAAGGUUCUGGUUUUUCCAUAUUCUCCACAUGAUCCAUGGGAAGAUUCUUCUUAAUGUGAGAGGCCAUUUUAAAUUAUCCUUGUUGACAAGGAAGUGUUGAAUGAUUGAGAACACUGAGGCUACCGGCAUCGCUCCACUAAGCAUCUUCCAUAAGAAGAUCUUAAUUUUUGGUUCAGUAUGUAGUUUCCACAUCUGUUCUUUAAGGGGAUUAACAGAGGAUUGAAUAGAAGCUUCCAACAAUAGAGGAUUGUCUUUUGUGUUUACUGCUAGCCAAUAAGCUGAUUUCACUGAGAAAACCCCACUUUUGUUA